This 786-nucleotide ribosomal RNA is filed under the name uncultured bacterium. Its description in RNAcentral is "bacterial SSU rRNA". It matches the Rfam family "Bacterial small subunit ribosomal RNA", at positions 8 to 796 of the family's 1533-position model. The record is from RNAcentral.
AGAGUUUGAUCAUGGCUCAGAUUGAACGCUGGCGGAAUUUACACAUGCAAGUCGAGCGGCAGCGCGGGGCAACCUGGCGGCGAGCGGCGAACGGGUGAGUAACAUAUUGGAACGUAUCCAUAAGUGGGGGACAACCUAGCGAAAGUUAGGCUAAUACCGCAUACGCUCGAGAGAGGAAAGUGGGGGAUCGCAAGACCUCACGCUUUAGGAGCGGCCGAUAUCAGAUUAGCUAGAUGGUGAGGUAAAGGCUUACCAUGGCGACGAUCUGUAGCUGGUCUGAGAGGAUGAUCAGCCACACUGGGACUGAGACACGGCCCAGACUCCUACGGGAGGCAGCAGUGGGGAAUUUUGGACAAUGGGGGCAACCCUGAUCCAGCCAUUCCGCGUGAGUGAAGAAGGCCUUCGGGUUGUAAAGCUCUUUUGUUCGGGACGAAACGGUUAAAGCUAAUAACUUUGACUACUGACGGUACCGGAAGAAUAAGCACCGGCUAACUACGUGCCAGCAGCCGCGGUAAUACGUAGGGUGCGAGCGUUAAUCGGAAUUACUGGGCGUAAAGCGUGCGCAGGCGGUUUUAUAAGCCAGAUGUGAAAGCCCCGGGCUCAACCUGGGAAUGGCAUUUGGGACUGUAAAGCUGGAGUAUGGCAGAGGAGACUAGAAUUCCUGGUAGCAGUGAAAUGCGUAGAUAUCAGGAGGAAUACCGAUGGCGAAGGCAGGUCUCUGGGCCAAUACUGACGCUCAUGCACGAAAGCGUGGGGAGCAAACAGGAUUAGAUACCCUAGUAGUCC